RNAcentral lists this ribosomal RNA (775 nucleotides) under uncultured Neocallimastigales. Its description in RNAcentral is "partial large subunit ribosomal RNA". It matches the Rfam family "Eukaryotic large subunit ribosomal RNA", at positions 24 to 649 of the family's 3401-position model. The record is from RNAcentral. Lineage: Eukaryota; Fungi; Neocallimastigomycota; Neocallimastigomycetes; Neocallimastigales.
UUACGACUACAUAUCAGGCAUAUCAAUAAGCGGAGGAAAAGAAACUAACAAGGAUUCCCUUAGUAACGGCGAGUGAAGCGGGAAGAGCUCAAAUUUGAAAUCUUCAAGGUUCUACCUUGACGAAUUGUAGUUUAAAGAAGUGUUUUCUGUUAGAUGAGUAGCAAAAGUUCCUUGGAAUGGGACAUCAUAGAGGGUGAGAAUCCCGUAUUUGGUUAUUCAUUCUAGCUUUGUGAUACACUUUCAAAGAGUCGGAUUGUUUGGGAAUGCAGUCCAAAAUGGGUGGUAAAUUUCAUCUAAAGCUAAAUAUCGGCGAGAGACCGAUAGCGAACAAGUACCGUGAGGGAAAGAUGAAAAGAACUUUGAAAAGAGAGUUAAACAGUACGUGAAAUUGUCAAAAGGGAAGCGUUUGACACCAGUGUUGUUUAGUUGAAAAUCAAUUCAAUAGUUUUUGAUUCUAAGUAGUAUUGACUUCAUCAGCUUGCUGCUUUCUUCUCAGAAAUUAUUGAAUGCACUUUUCAGUUAACAAGUCAACAUCAAUUUCUUUUGUUGUAAAAGGGUAAGAGGAAGGUGGCUUGCGCUUCGGCUCAAGUGUUUAUAGCCUUUUAUCUCUGCAAUCGGAGAGAUUGAGGUCUGCAGCGUAGAUCCUUCGGGGUUAGAUACAUUGGUGCUAAGCUAUAGCCUUGUAUAGACAACUUGUUGACUAUGCUCAGUCAUGUAGCUUACUCGCUGAUGCUAUUUUACCUACGCUUAGGAUGUUGAGUAGCGACAUACGCAC